Sapajus apella (tufted capuchin) is the source of this 505-nucleotide long non-coding RNA. RefSeq lists it as uncharacterized. The record is from RefSeq and is a predicted model, not a curated record. The transcript has 2 exons. Lineage: Eukaryota; Metazoa; Chordata; Mammalia; Primates; Cebidae.
AGGGCAUUGAAGCUCAGAGUGGUUGACGCCUUGCCCCAAGGUCACACAGCCAAUACGUGAUAGUGCCAGAAUUUGAAUUGGUUCCAAAGCCUGUCUAUUUCUCAGAUCUUUCACUUCAUUGACUCUUCACGAGUCUGUAAAUUGGGACUCUUCCUCAUUCUAUCGAUGAGGACAUGGGCUCAGGAGAGUCACAGCAAGUUGCCCAAGACGACACAGCAAGGAAGAGACAGGUAGAGUGGUGUUCAGACGGAAGGCUGACUUCAGAGCUGCUGGAGACCUGCAGCGCCUCGCAUCUUCACAAAGCUUGCGCAAGCUGUUUACAGAGACCUGAAGCCGUUUGGAGCACUGCCUACAAAAGGAAACGGAAGGCCAUAGGAGCACACAGCAAGAAGGCAGCCAUCAACAAGCCAGGAGGAGAGUCCUUAACAGAAAUGAAAUCAGCCAGCUCUUGAUCUUGGACUUUCUCACCUCCAGAACUGUGAGAAAUAAAUGUCUGUUAUUUAAA